RNAcentral lists this transfer RNA (74 nucleotides) under Erythrobacter sp. RNAcentral describes it as "tRNA-Pro". It matches the Rfam family "tRNA". From Rfam's summary of the family: Transfer RNA (tRNA) molecules are approximately 80 nucleotides in length. Their secondary structure includes four short double-helical elements and three loops (D, anti-codon, and T loops). Further hydrogen bonds mediate the characteristic L-shaped molecular structure. tRNAs have two regions of fundamental functional importance: the anti-codon, which is responsible for specific mRNA codon recognition, and the 3' end, to which the tRNAs corresponding amino acid is attached (by aminoacyl-tRNA synthetases). tRNAs cope with the degeneracy of the genetic code in two manners: having more than one tRNA (with a specific anti-codon) for a particular amino acid; and 'wobble' base-pairing, i.e. permitting non-standard base-pairing at the 3rd anti-codon position. The record is from RNAcentral. Lineage: Bacteria; Pseudomonadati; Pseudomonadota; Alphaproteobacteria; Sphingomonadales; Erythrobacteraceae. RNAcentral also lists the same sequence under 29 other names.
CGGGGCGUAGCGCAGCUUGGUAGCGCACUACUUUGGGGUAGUAGGGGUCGCAGGUUCAAAUCCUGUCGCUCCGA